RNAcentral lists this ribosomal RNA (547 nucleotides) under Klebsiella aerogenes. RNAcentral describes it as "partial 23S ribosomal RNA". It matches the Rfam family "Bacterial large subunit ribosomal RNA", at positions 1 to 587 of the family's 2925-position model. The record is from RNAcentral. Lineage: Bacteria; Pseudomonadati; Pseudomonadota; Gammaproteobacteria; Enterobacterales; Enterobacteriaceae.
GGUUAAGCGACUAAGCGUACACGGUGGAUGCCCUGGCAGUCAGAGGCGAUGAAGGACGUGCUAAUCUGCGAAAAGCGUCGGUAAGGUGAUAUGAACCGUUACAGCCGGCGAUGUCCGAAUGGGGAAACCCAGUGCAAUUCGUUGCACUAUCGUUAACUGAAUACAUAGGUUAACGAGGCGAACCGGGGGAACUGAAACAUCUAAGUACCCCGAGGAAAAGAAAUCAACCGAGAUUCCCCCAGUAGCGGCGAGCGAACGGGGAGCAGCCCAGAGUCUGAAUCAGCUUGUGUGUUAGUGGAACGGUCUGGAAAGUCCGACGGUACAGGGUGAUAGUCCCGUACACCAAAAUACACAGGUUGUGAACUCGAAGAGUAGGGCGGGACACGUGGUAUCCUGUCUGAAUAUGGGGGGACCAUCCUCCAAGGCUAAAUACUCCUGACUGACCGAUAGUGAACCAGUACCGUGAGGGAAAGGCGAAAAGAACCCCGGCGAGGGGAGUGAAAAAGAACCUGAAACCGUGUACGUACAAGCAGUGGGAGCACCUUUA